This 450-nucleotide ribosomal RNA is filed under the name uncultured organism. RNAcentral describes it as "partial 16S ribosomal RNA". It matches the Rfam family "Bacterial small subunit ribosomal RNA", at positions 331 to 797 of the family's 1533-position model. The record is from RNAcentral.
GUACACUCCUGCGGGAGGCAGCAGUGGGGAAUAUUGAACAAUGGGCGCAAGCCUGAUCCAGCCAUGCCGCGUGAGUGAUGAAGGCCCUAGGGUUGUAAAGCUCUUUCACCGGUGAAGAUAAUGACGGUAACCGGAGAAGAAGCCCCGGCUAACUUCGUGCCAGCAGCCGCGGUAAUACGAAGGGGGCUAGCGUUGUUCGGAUUUACUGGGCGUAAAGCGCACGUAGGCGGACUAUUAAGUCAGGGGUGAAAUCCCGGGGCUCAACCCCGGAACUGCCUUUGAUACUGGUAGUCUUGAGUUCGAGAGAGGUGAGUGGAAUUCCGAGUGUAGAGGUGAAAUUCGUAGAUAUUCGGAGGAACACCAGUGGCGAAGGCGGCUCACUGGCUCGAUACUGACGCUGAGGUGUGAAAGCGUGGGGAGCAAACAGGAUUAGAAACCCCUGUAGUCCCA